RNAcentral lists this long non-coding RNA (1198 nucleotides) under Marmota monax (woodchuck). The record is from RNAcentral. Lineage: Eukaryota; Metazoa; Chordata; Mammalia; Rodentia; Sciuridae.
GUUCAAUCUGUAGCACAAAAAUAAACAAUUUCUCAAACUCUGAGAAAGCUGUAGGUGACAUCUUUACAUGGCCCACUAGCAUGGAGGCUGUCACAAAACACUUCUCUUCUCCUUGCAGUUUCUGAGAAAUCUGUGACUUUCUGUUCUCCUCUCCUCAAUAGUGCUGCAGAAUAUAAAAACCACUUAGCAGCAAUCUAGAAUUGAUUGUUCACUUAUGGGGUAUCCCACAACUCACAUUACAGUCAUCUGGCCUCUUGUUUCAGCAUUGUUUAUUUUUUGGUGUGUAGGACAAGAACCUCAGGGAGCUGGUACCAUUGUGCAUUCUUCAUCUUGCUGUAUAUGUAAGUAACAAACUGGAUCUAAAAGUGACUUGUUUUGUCUUUACCAGCUGAAUCAGUUAGGCCUUGACCUUGCCAAAUCUUAUAUGGGUGUGUGACAAAGCCUAGCUUGCUUUAUGCUGCCCUGCAUUGUUGGUAUUCAAUAGGAAAAGGCAAGUUAUCUAGCAUAAGAGGUGUGGAUAAGGUAGCAUAGCAGGGCUGAUACAGUCCACCCCUGCUGCAGACUGAAACAAAUCACAAAGCAUAACAACUCAGUCAUAUUCUAGCAAAAUAGGACAGCCAGCAGAUAAGUGUGAGUGAGAAGUAAGGUGGUCAGGCCAAGUGAGAAACAUUCCUGAGAAACCUAGCUGCAUCCUGAAGCCAGGGUAAUUUCAGGUAAUCAGGCUAUUUACCAUCCAGCUCUGGUCUUAUGUUUUAGGGACUUGGUCUGACAACCUUACACGCUGGAUCUCCAUCAGAGAUCAACUUGACCCUGCAAGAUCCAGCAGCCCAUGAUUUCUAGGCAGUGGUGCACACAUUUUUUUUUCUUUUUUAAAUUUUUUUUGGUGCACGCAUUUAAUAGACUAAAUUCCUGGAGUCAGACAGACUGGAUUCUCUCCUCAACAGAGUGAUAUAGGGCCUUUCUAAGCUGUAUUUCCCUUAUCUGUAAAAUGAGAAUAGUAACACUGUUGAAAUGAAUGAAUAAAAUAAUACAUUUAAAGUGAUUUGCAAUGACUUGUGUAUAAUAGGCAUUCCAUUGAUUGAUUGAUUGAUUUUGAUAGUGAGGAUUAAACCUAGGACCUUGUGUAUGAUAGGUAAGUGCUGUAUCACUAAACUAUAUGCCUACUAUAUUUUUUAAGUUUAAAAAUUUUUGGAGGGGC